UUUGUGCCCUUAUCUGAAUAGACACGAGAGAGAAGACUGCUGUCUCACUACAGGAGAACACAAUGAGAAUAUCGCCGUCUGCAAACCGGGAAGAGCACCUUCCCCAGGAGCUCCCCAGGCUUGCACCCUGACCUCAGACUUCCAGCCGCCACAACUGUAAGAAGUAAGGUUUUGUUAUUUAAGGUACCCCGCCUGUGGUAUUCGGUUAUAGCAGCCUGAAUGAAGACAGGUAAUCUGAAUACAUAAAACGGAUUCUAGCUUUCUGUGGCUGAAUAGCACGAAAACAUCUAGAUGAAUUUCCAUCAGAUCCAAGGUUUUCAGAUCUACAGAGAUACGAUCAUCUCCGAUUCAACUCCUGAUUCAUCUCUGCAUGGCCCACAGCGUGCAGCAGCAUCAUGUAAAAGUUCAAAAUCUGGAUGAACAUCUGAAUGAAGGGCAGCUGUUUUGUAAGCUUUGGACCAAUGAAUCCAUGCUUAGCAAUAGCACAAGAGAAAAACAAAGGAGCCUGGGUUCCCAGGGGAAGCGUGGACUCAUUGAAUCAGCCCUGAAGGGUUCAAACUUUUUAUCAGGAAAGGGCAAGGAGCAAGCCAGAGAAGCAACAAUAGCAGCCCCUACAGCAUAUGCAUAAGGAAAGCAGAGUAGAAAUGUCAACCAGAUUCCUGACCCGGCUGUCCUUUUUUUAGAACAUUGUCUUUCGGUGCCAAAACUUUAGGCAUCUUCUCGAAAUAAGAAGGGCAUGUAAUGGCUGUCAAAGACUUCAGAACUUUAUUUUUGGAGCUGGUGUCAUAAAAGAGAGAGACAAAAUGAUGCUGAAAAUAUGUCUCACCUCUUACCUUUUCCACACUGUCAGAAAAUUUCAACACAAAGAACAAGCCAAACGCGCUGUCUGGACUGCCAGUGGCAAGGGACCACAGCCCUUCUAAUUAGUUCAUGACUGUGAAAAACUCCAGAACUGAGUCAUCUUAGCCAGUUCGUAUUCCUAGUAGCACCUCGUAGCCCUAAUAACAUCUGACAAUCGUCUAGCAGAGAUGUAUCUCAUGCCAGUAGUCUUCCUACUGCGGAUGACUUACUGGAAGAAACAAGAAGGAGACAGGGAAAGAGCCCUCAGAGGAAAAGAAAAGGCAGAAUUGAAAAGUUACAUACACAAAGAGUAAUGUAAGGGUUUGGAUCUCCCCACCCCUACCCC
Molecule: long non-coding RNA, 1186 nt
Organism: Acinonyx jubatus (cheetah)
Lineage: Eukaryota; Metazoa; Chordata; Mammalia; Carnivora; Felidae
Exons: 6
Source: RefSeq, a predicted model, not a curated record